CCUUUUUUGUUUUACCCUUCUAUUUUCAAAUAUCCCCAUAUUACCCUUUGCAAAUGUGAAAAGGAAGAAUGAAGAUGUAAGGUUACGCCAUUUUUCCCCUAAACGGAGCACGAAGAAGAAGAGGAAGAGAAAGUGAGAGAGAAUGGCGAAGCGUUUUGGGACAAUCGGAGUUCUUCAGGAGGAGGAGCGAGUGGAGGAAGCAUCCAAGGCUCAGCAAUCAGCUCUGUCAUGCCCUUCUCGGUCUUAGCCUCAGAGUCGACGAGCUCGUCUACAACAAACUCCUCCUUCCUCUUCUUCUUCUACUUCUUCUUCUUCUCACCACUCUUCCCAUUCCUCUGCUUCUCACUGACUCACUGAGACAACUAAAACAAUAACCUCAUCAGGAUGAUGGAUCUGUUAUAUGUAUAUUUUCUCUUUCUGGAAGUAAUGCCCAAGAUGGACAUUUAGCCGCUGGUCGUAAUGGUGUAAAGCGCCUCAGAACUAUAAGUUCUCAUCUGUUUUACUCUUUGAUGUGACAUGAUUGAAGAAUUAAUCAACAAGGGGUACGAAAGUCGAAAUAACGCAGCUGAAAUGCAAACUCUUGUUACUAAUUGGUUGGAAAAUAUCAUGCAAGAGCGCUCAAAUAAUGCCAGAGGCUUACGUGUUAUUCCAUUGAACUUAUACAAGUUUCAAAUUGUUGGCUAUGGCAUGUUCGUUGGAGUAGUCAACUUAGAAAAUAAGACAUGCUCAUGCAAGGAAUUCGACAUUGAUGGAUUUCCUUGUGUCCAUGCAAUUGCAGCAUGUAAGCAUCGACAUAUCUCUCCAUAUUUCCUUUGCUCGGCGCAUUACUCAGUUGACUCACUCCGUGAUGCAUAUUCGGAAACCAUAUAUCCACUUGGAGAUAAAAGUCAGUGGCAUGCUCCAGAUGAUGUCAUAAACCAGGUUGUACUUCCACCUCAAAUUGGCAAACAGUCAGGAAGACCGAGAAAGAAGAGGAUUCAAUCUCAAGGAGAGGAGCGUCAUCAAUAUAGAUGCAGGAGGUGCAAACAGGUUGGUCACAACAGCCGAUCAUGCUCCGCUGCCGUACCUCUUGAUAGCACUAACAACCAACAGCACCACUGAAACGAAUGCCCAUCAAUCGCAUGAUGCUAUAUUCAGACAAUGAGGCCAUGUUAUGUGGUAUGCGUGUGUAUGAAAUGUAGUCAGGAAUGCAAUUAGUUGGUCAACCGCGUAAUGUGUGUUUUGGCGUAAUAGACGUUGGCUUUAUGUGUUCUUUUAUUGUCAAAUUCAUCUGUCAUAUUGUUUUGAUAACAUAUCAUUCCAUCUUCA
This is a long non-coding RNA of Ziziphus jujuba (common jujube), 1308 nucleotides long. RefSeq lists it as uncharacterized. The transcript has 3 exons. Lineage: Eukaryota; Viridiplantae; Streptophyta; Magnoliopsida; Rosales; Rhamnaceae. The record is from RefSeq and is a predicted model, not a curated record.